UCUCCCAAGAGCUACGUGUAAAACAUGGUAUGUUCUGCACGUUUUAAUUUAGCCACAUUGAUUCCAUUGAUGCCUUGUCAGAUACUCUGAAGCCUGAGGCUUCAUCAGCCACACAGGACAGAUCAGAGAUGGGCCCUCUGACUUUUUGACCCUGAUUAUUCUUUCUUUUUAUUCUGGUUUUCUCUUGGCAUUAUAGAAUGAUGUGGAGAAGGAGAUCUGGGGAAAGGGAAAGGAAGAGAACAAGGAGGAGGGAGUAAGAGGUCAGAGCUCACACAUACACAAGAACAAAAGGACUGCAAAUUGGGAUGUCUCUCCACAGCAACCUUCCCUUCUUCCCUUUGAAAAGUCGAUGCUGAACCAUCUGUCAUCUCUCAGGGACUCCAGCUCCAGGCUGGCUUGGACCAAGUGAGAGCUGCCUAGCCAGUCACUCAUCAGUCCGUCCUAGGGCUGCCUCUGUGCAUUCAUCCUGCUUUCCCCAGGUGGGACAUUCCGCUGCCUUUGGGGCUUCACACCCCAAUUAUUUAUUAAGGAGACAGAAAAGAAUUGUUGAUAAAGGCCGUGGCUGGAGAGCAGGAAGUAGCCAUGGGCUGCUGCAGGGGUGGGCUCCUGCUUAGCAAAUGUUAGACCAGGUUUGUCUUGCUGCUGUUUUUAUUUUGUUUGGACACUUUUUACUGUUGUUAUUUCACACAUCCAAAGAUGAUAUGUGCCCUAAUUGCAUUUCCACAGCACCUUUGACAAUUCUGAGAAUCUAUUAAUUUUUUAAAUUCAAGCCUUGGCAUUAGAGGUUCCUACAAUAUUUGAGUCUGGUUUGUAUGUGAAGGUGGGUUGGGGUUGAGGAGUCUGUGAAUAAUAUAUGCAAUUUAUAACUAUCUGUGAAACUGAAAAUAAAAUAGGUUGUAUGUGCAUGUCUGUGUGUGUGUGUGUGUGAGUGUGUAUGAGAGAGAGAGAGAGUGAGUAUGUUGGGGGAAAAGAGUGACUGUAUUUACAUCCUCUAUUUGGAAUUUAGAGUUUUAAGUGAAAGUUGG
RNAcentral lists this long non-coding RNA (1025 nucleotides) under Homo sapiens (human). RNAcentral describes it as "HSALNT0250463". Lineage: Eukaryota; Metazoa; Chordata; Mammalia; Primates; Hominidae. The record is from RNAcentral.